Molecule: long non-coding RNA, 1592 nt
Organism: Naja naja (Indian cobra)
Lineage: Eukaryota; Metazoa; Chordata; Lepidosauria; Squamata; Elapidae
Source: Ensembl
UUUUUCCAUUUCGUUUUUUUUUUAAAUUACAGUAUUAAAAAUUCUACCCUACGCAGCACACUCACUAUCACCCAUUCAAAGCAGUGGAAACAGAGUUCCCAUCCGCUGCCAAACCUCCUUCUGGUUGUGUUCAAAGACGCCCAUUCCCAAAUCGCGGGACGCUAGGUGGGAAGAACCGUGUUGACCAAUGAAGGGAAAGGAACAACACCCGAAACUACGGGAAAGGCAGUGAGGAAAGUUAAGGCAGACAAACUUACCGGUUCCGAGUCCUGUUUUUUCGUCUCAGCCUCGUUGGCUCGGCCGAAGAACCACACCGAGGACAGCACGUCCGAAGCCAGGAUGAAACUGCCGGGGCAUUCCUGCCUUUCACCGUCCAAAGCACGGACAGCCGAGCUCGUAAGGCGGACCGCCGAGGGGGGCGGAACCGACGAAAACUUUGCUGGCACGAGGAAGUCGCGGAGCGGUUCGACCCUGGGAGACGUCUCAGAUUUUCCUCGUGCGCACUGCUCUCCGAACUCCGCUCGAGGCGGAAGCGCCCACCACGUGUCUCUGCCGCCUGGCUUUCUUCAGCGUCACCCAGGUUUGCAGCCCUUGAAUCAACUGAAUGGGGGACCUUCAAACAGAACUGGAAAAAAAAACAGCUGCUAGAUAUUUCACUACCUGGCAAGCAAGAGCUAAAUUAGAAUCUGGAUUCUCUCCCCAUUUCUCACUCUGUUUAUAACUUGCUAAUUCACCUGCUAACCCCAAGGGACAUUUAAAAAAAAGCUUACAAGCAAGAUGUAAAUGCAGACUACGGAAAGAUUCCCACCAGAAAAUUCAAUGGAGUUUAAACCCAAAUAAUCUUAUUAUUUGAGCAUACUUAUAAAUAGCAUACUUAUUUAUAAAAUAUUAUCUGGAAUUCCUGGAAAAAGAUUUUGAUGCUCUGCUAAGAAACAUGAUGCUGGACCUACCACUUCAUUAAGACUAUGCAGAAGCCCAGGUUAAAGCCACAUAUUUCUGACAUCCUAAAGGUGCUUUUCAGGAGGCAACUGGACUUUCUUGUUUUUUCUUUGAAGACAUUUCGUUUCUUAUCCAAGAAGCUUCUUCAGCUCUGACUGGAUGGUGGGGAAGGAUUUAAGCGAAAUGUCCAGUUGCCUCCUGAAAAAACACCUUUGGGACAACCAUGACCUGGAUGACUGAGAAUCUUUACAGACUUUUAGCUAUGCAAUUUGGGAUGAAUUACCCUUUGAACGGUGUGGGAGUAUGAAUGGAUUUCCAGAAAAAAUGCAGGCUACAGGAACUCAGGUGACCCUGAGGACAUAGGUAAACCUCCAAGUGCUUCAACAACCCUGUAAAAGGAUGCAAGUGACCAGCUGUCUGCAAAGAAUAUAAAUCCUUCUAUUCCACACCAUCUGGUCAGAGCUGAAGAAACUUCUUGGAUUAGAAGUAAAAUGUCUUCAAAGAAAAAACAAGAAAGUCCAGUUGCCUCCUGAAAAAGCACCUUUGGGACAAUCAUGACCUGGAUGACUGAGAAUCUCUACAGACUAUUUCUGACAUGUUCUCUGAUAAAGGGCAAAUUGUUAAAAUAAAGCUGACAAAACUGCAGUCAAAUG